CCCAGACUCCUACGGGAGGCAGCAGUGGGGAAUAUUGCACAAUGGGGGAAACCCUGAUGCAGCGACGCCGCGUGAGUGAAGAAGUAUUUCGGUAUGUAAAGCUCUAUCAGCAGGGAAGAAAAUGACGGUACCUGACUAAGAAGCCCCGGCUAACUACGUGCCAGCAGCCGCGGUAAUACGUAGGGGGCGAGCGUUAUCCGGAUUCACUGGGUGUAAAGGGAGCGUAGACGGCCAUGCAAGCCAGGGGUGAAAGCCCGGGGCCCAACCCCGGGACUGCCCUUGGAACUGCAUGGCUGGAGUGCGGGAGGGGCAGGCGGAAUUCCUGGUGUAGCGGUGAAAUGCGUAGAUAUCAGGAGGAACACCGGUGGCGAAGGCGGCCUGCUGGACUGCAACUGACGUUGAGGCCCGAAAGCGUGGGGAGCAAACAGGAUUAGAUACCCCAGUAGUC
Molecule: ribosomal RNA, 448 nt
Filed under: uncultured bacterium
Lineage: Bacteria
Description: bacterial SSU rRNA
Rfam family: Bacterial small subunit ribosomal RNA
Source: RNAcentral